UCCGGGCUUCGCUCCGAUGGUUGACGAACGAUUGCCGGACCCCUGGUCAUGUUCCUGCACCUCGUUCCGGCCCCGUCCUUGUCCCCCGGGU
Sordaria macrospora k-hell is the source of this 91-nucleotide non-coding RNA. Lineage: Eukaryota; Fungi; Ascomycota; Sordariomycetes; Sordariales; Sordariaceae. The record is from the annotation of a RefSeq genome assembly.